This 355-nucleotide ribosomal RNA is filed under the name Salmonella enterica subsp. enterica serovar Typhimurium. RNAcentral describes it as "partial 23S ribosomal RNA". It matches the Rfam family "Bacterial large subunit ribosomal RNA", at positions 1540 to 1874 of the family's 2925-position model. Lineage: Bacteria; Pseudomonadati; Pseudomonadota; Gammaproteobacteria; Enterobacterales; Enterobacteriaceae. The record is from RNAcentral.
AUCCGGUUCACUUUAACACUGAGGCGUGACGACGAGGCACUACGGUGCUGAAGCAACAAAUGCCCUGCUUCCAGGAAAAGCCUCUAAGCAUCAGGUAACACGAAAUCGUACCCCAAACCGACACAGGUGGUCAGGUAGAGAAUACCAAGGCGCUUGAGAGAACUCGGGUGAAGGAACUAGGCAAAAUGGUGCCGUAACUUCGGGAGAAGGCACGCUGACACGUAGGUGAAGUGAUUUACUCAUGGAGCUGAAGUCAGUCGAAGAUACCAGCUGGCUGCAACUGUUUAUUAAAAACACAGCACUGUGCAAACACGAAAGUGGACGUAUACGGUGUGACGCCUGCCCGGUGCCGGAA